Molecule: non-coding RNA, 265 nt
Organism: Caretta caretta (loggerhead turtle)
Lineage: Eukaryota; Metazoa; Chordata; Testudines; Cheloniidae
Source: RefSeq, a predicted model, not a curated record
AGUCAACAGGAAAACUAUAGUAGAACGACCAACAGAUCUGAAAAACAGGAAGCUAACUUUGCCAAUGAAUAGAUCUUGGCCAAACAUGAAUGCAGCAAGUAAGCUAGAGUUAAACCACAGAGAAGGCAAGAGCAGAAAUAUUCCUGGAAAAACAUCUAAUUUUGAUAAACAUUUUGCAAAAGUGGGUGAGGAUGAAUCAGAACAUUCACGCGAUGUACCUGAUGAAGAACAGUAUCCCUAUGAUACUGUAAAAACUUCCAGCUUG